RNAcentral lists this ribosomal RNA (253 nucleotides) under uncultured bacterium. RNAcentral describes it as "partial 16S ribosomal RNA". It matches the Rfam family "Bacterial small subunit ribosomal RNA", at positions 524 to 776 of the family's 1533-position model. The record is from RNAcentral.
UACGGAGGGAGCUAGCGUUGUUCGGAAUUACUGGGCGUAAAGCGCACGUAGGCGGCUUUGUAAGUUAGAGGUGAAAGCCCGGGGCUCAACUCCGGAACUGCCUUUAAGACUGCAUCGCUUGAAUCCAGGAGAGGUGAGUGGAAAUCCGAGUGUAGAGGUGAAAUUCGUAGAUAUUCGGAAGAACACCAGUGGCGAAGGCGGCUCACUGGACUGGUAUUGACGCUGAGGUGCGAAAGCGUGGGGAGCAAACAGG